CCGGGGAGGGUCAUUGGAAACUGGGAAACUUGAGUGCAGAAGAGGAGAGUGGAAUUCCACGUGUAGCGGUGAAAUGCGUAGAGAUGUGGAGGAACACCAGUGGCGAAGGCGACUCUMUGGUCUGUAACUGACGCUGAGGAGCGAAAGCGUGGGGAGCGAACAGGAUUAGAUACCCUGGUAGUCCACGCCGUAAACGAUGAGUGCUAAGUGUUAGGGGGUUUCCGCCCCUUAGUGCUGCAGCUAACGCAU
RNAcentral lists this ribosomal RNA (249 nucleotides) under Bacillus sp. (in: firmicutes). RNAcentral describes it as "partial 16S ribosomal RNA". Lineage: Bacteria; Bacillati; Bacillota; Bacilli; Caryophanales; Bacillaceae. The record is from RNAcentral.